GUGCCUAACACAUGCAAGUCGAACGAGAAACUCCGGGCUUGCUCGGAGAAGUACAGUGGCGCACGGGUGAGUAACGCGUGGGUAACCUACCCUUGAAUCUGGGAUAACCCCGCGAAAGCGGGACUAAUACCGGAUAUGGUUCCAUAAGCCUUGGCUCUUGGAAUUAAAGGUGACCUCUUCAUGAAAGUUGCCGUUCAGGGACGGGCUCGCGUACCAUUAGCUUGUUGGUAGGGUAAUGGCCUACCAAGGCUACGAUGGUUAGCUGGUCUGAGAGGAUGAUCAGUCACACUGGAACUGGAACACGGUCCAGACUCCUACGGGAGGCAGCAGUGAGGAAUUUUGCGCAAUGGGGGAAACCCUGACGCAGCAACGCCGCGUGAGCGAAGAAGGCCUUCGGGUCGUAAAGCUCUGUCAAGUGGGAAAAAAGCCUUUCGGUUAAUAUCCGGGAGGUGUGAUGGUACCACUGGAGGAAGCACCGGCUAACUCCGUGCCAGCAGCCGCGGUAAUACGGAGGGUGCAAGCGUUGUUCGGAAUUACUGGGCGUAAAGGGCGUGCAGGCGGUUUGGUAAGUCAGAUGUGAAAGCCCUGGGCUUAACCCGGGAAGCGCAUUUGAAACUGCCUUUCUUGAGUAUGGGAGAGGAGAGUGGAAUUCCCAGUGUAGAGGUGAAAUUCGUAGAUAUUGGGAGGAACACCCGUGGCGAAGGCGACUCUCUGGACCAAUGCUGACGCUGAGACGCGAAAGCGUGGGGAGCAAACAGGAUUAGA
This 765-nucleotide ribosomal RNA is filed under the name uncultured bacterium. RNAcentral describes it as "bacterial SSU rRNA". It matches the Rfam family "Bacterial small subunit ribosomal RNA", at positions 44 to 782 of the family's 1533-position model. The record is from RNAcentral.